GCAGUGAGUGAUCUCAACUGGUUGUUCACAGUCAGUUAUAGAUCAAACUCCUUGUUCUACUCUUUCCCCCUUCUCACUACUGCA
This 84-nucleotide small RNA is filed under the name Carlito syrichta (Philippine tarsier). RNAcentral describes it as "Y RNA (ENSTSYG00000028193.1)". The record is from RNAcentral. Lineage: Eukaryota; Metazoa; Chordata; Mammalia; Primates; Tarsiidae.